RNAcentral lists this ribosomal RNA (570 nucleotides) under Maribacter sp. KC51A. RNAcentral's name for it is "bacterial SSU rRNA". It matches the Rfam family "Bacterial small subunit ribosomal RNA", at positions 563 to 1134 of the family's 1533-position model. Lineage: Bacteria; Pseudomonadati; Bacteroidota; Flavobacteriia; Flavobacteriales; Flavobacteriaceae. The record is from RNAcentral.
AAGGGUCCGUAGGCGGGCCGAUAAGUCAGAGGUGAAAGUUUGCAGCUCAACUGUAAAAUUGCCUUUGAUACUGUUGGUCUUGAGUUAUGGUGAAGUUGGCGGAAUAUGUAGUGUAGCGGUGAAAUGCAUAGAUAUUACAUAGAACACCGAUUGCGAAGGCAGCUGACUAACCAUAUACUGACGCUGAUGGACGAAAGCGUGGGGAGCGAACAGGAUUAGAUACCCUGGUAGUCCACGCCGUAAACGAUGGAUACUAGCUGUCCGGGGCCUUGAGUCCUGGGCGGCCAAGCGAAAAGUGAUAAGUAUCCCACCUGGAGAGUACGUUCGCAAGAAUGAAACUCAAAGGAAUUGACGGGGGCCCGCACAAGCGGUGGAGCAUGUGGUUUAAUUCUAUGAUACGCGAGGAACCUUACCAGGGCUUAUGUGUAUAUUGACAGGACUAGAGAUAGCUUUUCCUUCAGGCAAUUUACAAGGUGCUGCAUGGGUGUCGUCAGCUCGUGCCGUGAGGUGUCAGGUUAAGUCCUAUAACGAGCGCAACCCCUGCCGAUAGUUGCCAGCAUGUUAUGAUGG